Balaenoptera ricei (Rice's whale) is the source of this 3104-nucleotide long non-coding RNA. RefSeq lists it as uncharacterized. The record is from RefSeq and is a predicted model, not a curated record. The transcript is spliced from 6 exons. Lineage: Eukaryota; Metazoa; Chordata; Mammalia; Artiodactyla; Balaenopteridae.
CGCGAGACCCAAACAGGCCCCACGUGUCAGGGGGCGGAGCCCUACCCUGACGUCACGGCGCACGGCGGCUGGAAGGGAGACUAGCGCCGGCAAACCCUAGCUGGGUUCUCGCGUCCCGGGAACUUUUUCCUCCCUCCUGUCCCGCCCCCUUCCCUGUCCCUGUCCCACCUUCCGGCCCCCGGGACCCCCGGCAACGGUUGUGGCUGCUGACCCGCUUCAGCCGGAGUGUUGCUGAGCGCCGAGCCCGAGGGCGCCCGUGAGAGCCCCUGUUGAGUUCCCUGCUGUGUAGGAUGCCAGAACUGGAGACUCUGGAGAUCAUGAAGUUGGUGAAUUGCCCUGAGACCUUCACCCCGGACAUGAGGUGCAUCAUGGGCGAGUCCCCUUCAGUGCAGGGCUACUUCGUCCUGGCGGGAAUGAACUCUGCUGGCCUUUCGUUUGGUGGAGCUGGAAGAGUUGACCAGAGAGUAAAGUGUUAGCUGUGCUGCUGGAAGACCCUUCACUGAAACGAGCUGCAGAAGCUUUCGACCCUACACCCAUCUGUUGAAGGUUCAAAAUGAUUCUUCGAUUGCAUAUGCUGAGAAGAUUGUGGAGCCCCUCUCCCAAUACAGCAGAAGUGGUGAUAACAGAUCAUUUCAGAGAGAAGAAAAAAGUACCAACCACCUAAAACAAGAGUCCGGCUACUCCUUGAACAAUCCCUCCAAUCUCCAGGGAGAGAAGAUGUGGAGAGAUGUCUGGAAAGAGAAGACGGAAAGCAGACCUUGGACUCAGGUAACAUACGCUCUCCACACUGGGAACUCUCAAGGGACCCAAGUGGGUCAUCUCUGUGUGGAUCUGUGUCUUUUGUGUGGGGGAAGCAACCCUGGGGUCCCAGUAGCUCUCUUCAACUCAGCGUGGCCACAGGUUUAGUUACUCAGCCAGGGUGCUUGUCCUGCCUCCCCUGUCCUCUUCUAAAGGAGAGAGCGUGCACUGAGCCAGUGGGCCUCCUGUGGAAGGGACACAUGAGGCUGAACUGAAAGUCACAUGCACUCGGAGAAGAGGAACAUCAAGGUGGGGUGACUGACCUGUGAAUAGCUGAGAGAAAAGCAGCACUGUUUCAUAGAAAACUCAGCAUCGCUGGAGCUUAGUUUGAGGUCAGACCCUUUCAGCUAGGAAAAGCAACACUAAAGGCAACAUGGUCUUUCCCUUUCGAACACUGUGGCUUGUUUAGUCGGCUAAAUAAACCACAACCCCCCUCAUUAUACAGAUUAGCAAGAGAUGAAGAAAAUUAUAGGCAGGUGGCCCUAGCCCAACAGUCUGAUAACUGGGUCAGUAGCGAGGCCCAGGAUGGUUAACUACUUAUCUGUGCUAAACCCCAGGCAGCGCCCACACGAUGCCUCUCAUCAGCGAGGUAGAUGGUCAUCCUCCUGCUAGAGGUAUCAGGGUGCCGACCCACAGCACAAAGGAACGGGAGAAGGACCUACCUGGCUAAAAGGUGUAAGCUCUUCCACACGGCUGUAUCACACAGACAGCAGCUAGCCAGAAUUCGCAGGUUACUCCGAGAAAACUUAGCCCCACGGAGAUGGACUCUUACCCUGAGGCCUGCACACCACAAGCCUCCCUUGCUUCAAGACACAGCAUUUGAAGUCAGGCUGUCACUGUAACCCACUUCCACAAGUGGAGUCUACCUCUGUCCUGCCUUCCUGUCCCCACAGGAACCUGAGAUGGGUGGAGGGAUGACCAGCCCAGAGUGAGUAUCAGGAGAUGGGAAACUGCAGGAGGGAGGAGAAGAUGGAGGGACAAGAGAGGGUGCAAAGGAAAAGUUUUAAACGCUUCAAAUUAUAUCAGGGAGAUAAGAGGUGGGAGGCAGAGGUUAAAUCAAGAAGGUUAAAUCAAGAAGAGGGAUGGGAUCAGGAGGAGGAGAAAAGCUCCUAAGAUGACUAGAAGGUGGGAAGGUGGUGAGACUGCCUGGCAUUACUUCCCGUGCAAGUCACUUAGCUCCAUGUCAUCCUUUCGGCGCUUAUGGGUGAAGAGGGAGGUGACCGGGUAGAGCUUGGCCUUGGCCUGGAACCGCUGUCCUGCGAUGUCAAUCUCAUAUUCUCCCCGGUUGAUGAAAUCUGCUGUCACCACCUGCUCUUCUCCGGUGUCCUCGGAAAAAUUGUGCACAAAGCCCAGGCACACGUGGCGCUCCAGGGUGUAACCAUAUGCGCUGCUGGUGGUCUUGCCCACGUACUGCCCGUUUCGGUAAAUGGGCUCCCCCCACCAAGGCCAGAGGUCCAGGUCCGUGUCGUGGUCAUCCAGGAUGAACAUAGUGAGGCGUUUGUACACCCCGUUCUGCUUCUGCUGCAGCAGGGCAUCUCGCCCAAUGAAAUCCAUCCCCUAGGAAAGAGGCAGCACAGAGACAGCGUCACCACUCGGGACCCAGUGUCACUGCAGUGGGCCGCCCACUCCCCACCACACCCCUGCAAGCUCUGGAGAAAGUGUGCUUCCCCCAUGCGGAAAACUGCAUUCCCAGUAUGAAAGACACCUGCAGAGAAUUCUUGUAACAACACAGUGUUAUUACAGCUUCCUGGAGAGGUGAGCUGAGGGCUCAGCUCCGCCACAGCCAUUAGGCGGAGGGAGCAGAGCGGCAGCCGGCUCACCUGCGCUUGCUCAGCCGUGCUAUGCUGCAGUCAUUUUCGUACCCUCCACCCUCGUUGAGCAUGCCGGUAUGCACGAUGUGGCCCACGGGCACGUCAAGGUCAUUGGAGAAGAGGUAUUGGAGAAUUUCUAACGCCUGAUCCCCGGUGGACUGCAGGGUUAGGGAACGAAGCAGAGAGAACAAACGUGAGAACCUCUGGCCGGUAGUGCGGCCUGACAAGCAAAGUCACUUGCGGAGAAAAUUCAAUUAGCCGGUACUCGUGCAACGGUAUUUGCAGAUUUGCUCCACUGCAAUGAGCUCCAGAGAAAGCUAGCUAUUGAUUCUAGUGUCAAAUGAGCCUCUGCAAGCAGAUAAAGAACCAGAAACAAAGAGCUAAAAAUUCCAGAAAAUGUUAUAAUACAGGUGAAACACUAAAAUAUAUCAGAGUUCUUAGUCUGUUUUGAAGUGACAGAUGAAAAACAAGAGGCAUUCAAUAAAUAUGCAAGUU